AACGUUUGCGUAAAUAAAAAGACCCUCAGCCAUGUAAGGCCAUGUUCCUUUGAAGGCCAACUAUCAAAAAGUCGCAGUUAUCGUCAUGUGAAGAUAUUUUCCUUCUACUACACACUUAGAUCCAUCAAACUUAUGGCCAAAAACGCGGC
Long non-coding RNA from Aricia agestis (brown argus), 149 nucleotides. RefSeq lists it as uncharacterized. NCBI's taxonomy places the organism in Eukaryota, Metazoa, Arthropoda, Insecta, Lepidoptera, Lycaenidae. The transcript is spliced from 3 exons. The record is from RefSeq and is a predicted model, not a curated record.